ACACGCUGGCACCUCCACAGGGCCGACCCCUGGUCAGGGGGUCCUGGAUGGAGACGAGGCCCACCGCCUCAGUCCCCCAUGGUAUGAACAGGCCCUGUGGCCAUGAGACCCUCUCUCCCCUCACUCAGGCACCAUCAAGGGUUCGGCAAGGCCCUCCCUGCCCAUCGCUAUCUCCCAAGGCAGCACUCACCUGGGCCUCUUCCUGGAGGGGUCGUGGGAGUGUGUGGAAGGGAGGGGUCCAGCAGAAAGUAAUCUUCUCUUUCAGGACCCACUGACUGCAGGCGUCGGGCAAAGGCCCUUCCUAGUGUCCAGCAUAGAGAAGUCCCUGUCCACUGUCGCACUGGUAGAGAGGUCUGCCCAGACUCAGCUUCUCCGGAGAAACUGAAGGGCUUUAUGCCAGGAAGGGCCAGGCUCAGGCUUGUGUUCAUAGUGCUCGCCCUGCUUUGAGGAGAGCCGAUUGGGGAGGAGCGGAUCAAAGGUGGGAAGGCAGGAUCUGAGGACCCCCAGUGCCGUCCCCAGGUGUCCGUGGAGAACUCAUUCAGUACAGACAGCUUCUCCUCCCUCACUCCCAUCACGGAGCAGAUGAUCCCCCAGUUCUGACAGAAGGCGAAAUGGGACAUGAGGCGGGACUAGAACCCAGGUCUCCGCCCCUCGUCCCAGAGGUCCCCUCGGCCAUUGUCCAUUUAGUGCCCUCUGCACCCACUCCAGGGCCUGGCAUAGACGAGCUGCUCAACAGUGUGUUAGCAGCAAAAGAAGGUGUCACGGGAAGGUCUCAACGCAGCAGGUCUGGGGGCCGCCCGCCCAGCUGCCCUUCCUGUGGUGGGCAUUCUUUCCCAUCCCGCCCCACCCCAGUCCUCCCCACACCCAGGCAGGGAUUCCCAGGGCGCCCUGAGGCCUGGUUUAAAGUGGAAUGAGGAUCCCAUGCAUGCCCCCCUCGCUCCCUGGCCCGGGGCAGUGGAUCGCAUUUCACUAGGGAAGGCAGAUGGUCAGGCUGCCGGGCGCGCCUCCUGCAUGCUUGUCCCUCUCCCUGCCCAGCUAUGUGCGGCUCCUGUUACCUGGCCCUGGAAGACAGAAUGUGAUCUCCUUUCCCCCAGCCCUCCCCCACCUCCCCUUCCGCCCGGCUGGACUGAGAUCCCUGUUCUGGGAACCCUGGAGCCCCCACAGGGCUGAGCCGGGAGGCCCUCAGGGGUGCAGAGGGAACGGACCUCCCACCUGAGCCGAUGGCCAGGGAGUGGCUGAGCCUGGGUGAACCCAGGGCCUCGAGGGGCUCAGUCCACAUUUCAGUACCUGGUUUCUGUUUUUGUUUUGUUGUAAAGAGCAAGGUUCCAUCCCGACUUCAUCAUACAUUUAUUUAACAUUUUUGAGCCCCUAAUAUGUGAUCCGAGACACACGGCAGGGAACCAAAAGCGCAGGGCCCUGCCGCGGCGAGCUGGUGAUCUGGCGCUUUCUGUUACGCAAUCAAACCAGCCACUUGACUGGUGUUUCCUGACUGUGGCCAAGUUCUUCCUGUGGUCGUUUUUCUGAAGCUCAGCUUCGCUUGCAAGAUGCCUGCUGCUCAGCCUCUUUCUGCAGCCAUGGCUGUGACCUGCCCCUGUGACCCGACGACUCCCCGCCCCGUCCACCCUCUGGGCCUGGCCCCUGCCCCUCCUCCCAGGAAUCAGCCCUGACCAGCGCGCUCUCCUGUGGACAGAGCGUUCCAGGCCAGCUCUUGGAUGCCACCACUUGGAGGCAGAUGCUUGGGGCUCCUAAGCACAUGCUAACAAUUUGGGGACUGUCCCCUCAAGGCAAAGGGGUGGGCUAGUCCCUCCCUGGCCCUCACCCUUCACCUCUCCCACCCCGGCCUACCCUGACCAUUUAGGACUGUCCGCUCACUGCCGCCUUCCCUGGAAGUUCAUCCAUCACCACAUUCUGUGGAUUUCACGUCCCAGACUAGUCCCUUCUUCAUCUCCACCUCCACCACCCUGGCCCACUGCCCUGACAUGUCCCGAACGCAUGACUUCAGUGGCUCCUUAUGGUGCCCUCCCUUUUCCUCACAUCCCCACUCCUACAAUCCAUUGCCCAGAGCGAUGUUUUGAAACAAUUCGGGUCAUGCUACUUACCUGCUUAAUACUCUUCAGGGACUCCCUGUCCUUGGAAUAAAGUCCAAAGCCCUCCCCAGGGCCCAGCCCCUGCCCACCUCUCCUGCCCCAUCUCCUGAGGUGUUCCCCUCACCUUCUAUGGUCUAGCCACACCUUGCGCAGGGCCUUUGCACCUGCUGUCCCUUCUUCCUGGGGUGCCCUUCCCUCACCUCUUCACCUGCCUAACUCCUCUUUGCACUUCAGAUGCCAGCUCAAGUGUCACCUCUUCCAAGAAGCCCUCCCUGACCUCUCUGACACGUACCUUUCUUCAGAAGCACUGAUCCCAGAUAUAGUCGCCCUUUUACCUGUGUGACUGUUUUCUCCCCGCGUUUCCCUUCCUUGAGUCACCAAGUCCUUGGUGACUUGGCUCAUUUUGCUCCACACUGUGUCCCCAGCAUGCAGCACAGCACCAGCCUCCCAGGACAUGUUUGGUGCAUGAAUGAAUGAAUGAAUGAAUGAAUACGUGAAUGCACUCUGGGUCUCUGGUUUCCCUUCCCAGCCUCUUGAUGCUCUGACUUUCACAGCUGGGGGUGUGUGGAGUCGGGAACCCCCCACUGGUGGUGUCUGGGGGUUUCCUUUCUUCUUCCUGACCUCGGGCGUGGGGGCCUCGGCCUGGUCACCGUCACCCUGUGACAUCCUUCCUUUGCAGGCCCCUUCUUGCUGCACCCCAGCUUGGCAUGCCACCCUCCUCUUCCUUCUCCUCUUCCCCCUCCCCGCGCCGUGUGGGGGCCUCCGAGACAAGUGUGCAGACUGGCCCCCUCCUGCCCUCCCUCAGUGUAAAGAGCCCCAUUUUACAGGCUGGGAUGCCAAGGCUCAGAGGGGAAGCACCCUCAGUCCUGUGAGUCCCUCCACAGUCUCUCUGUGUCCCCCUCCGUUUCCUGCCUCUCAGCUAUUUCCUGGGCUGUCUUGGCUUUUUCUGUCUCUGGUUUUUCUUUUUUUCUCUUGCGUUCUCUUGUUAACGUUUCUGUUUCUGCUGAUACUUCUUGUUCUCAUUCUGCUGUGUUCAGUGUGCUGUGUGAGUGUGUAUGCGUGUGAGUGUGUGUGUGUGCAUGCGUGUGGGUGCGGGUCAGCCUCCGGCUGUGGACGUGUGAGCGCCCCAGGUGGGGGAGCACAUUGGGCUGAACAGGUGCAUCCUAAUUAGUGGGCCUUUGGGACCUGGGGCCCUGGGGAGGGCAGGGCUGUGGGAUUCUGCCCAGAGACUUGGGUACUGAGUGACCUCACACAGGCCCUGUUCCCCAAAGGGAAUCCCAGAGCAAGGUCCCAGGGACGGAGCCCGUCAGCUUCCUUCGUGGUUGACGCAUUGAUCUCACGCAUCUACCUCCCCAGGUCUCCGAGUCGACCAGAGCCUCUCCAGAUGGCAGUGCCCUGGGUCCUCUGGGGAUUGGCCACCUCCCCCAUCAGCUGCCACCCAGUCCCUCUAAAGCCCAGGAGGGAGCACACGCUGAGAGAAGUCACCCUGCCCUUCACAGUCAGAGGACAGCUCGAGACCGGUGGGCUGGUGGCUCCCCCAGAAUGGCAUCCGUGCCAGCCUGACUGGUCCCCGACCCCACAUGGGAACUUCUAGCCUGGAUCCCGUCCAGGUCUCUGCAGCAGAGCCUGCCUAGUUCCUCUGGGGUCCCAAACAGCUGAUGAGCUAAGACCUCUCGAGAAGGAGGGCCCCCGCCCUGGCCAGGGCAGCCACUCCCCAUCCUCGGCCUCCACCUGCCCCAGGGGACCCCAGAAUCUGAGGGGAUUGUGCACAGCAGGGGCGCGUGUUAAAUCCUCUGUGAGUCAGCUGGGCUCCCGUGACCAGGGAGCUGCAGGGAUGUCAUCAACCAGCUCCGGGGACAGUGUCAGGAGCCCACCAGGCAGCCCUGCAGUCACACACGGAGAAGGACACAUCCCCACGCCGAGGGGGAAAGCGUGGGAAAGCCCAGGGCCAGAGGGGAGGAGAGACAAAACGAGGCUGCAAAGAGAGGAAAGGACCUGCCCAGAGUCACACGGCACCCAGCACAAGAGCCAGACUUGAACCCGAGGCCCACAACUGCCGGUUCUUUGUGCUGCGCGGCGUGGAGGCUGGCGAAGAGCACGGGCUAUGGAUGUGACAGACCUGGGCUGCCCUUUCCUGGAGAUGUGACCUUGGACAAGCAUCUUAGCCUCCCUGAGCCUCGGUUUCCUCGUCUGUAUUGCGGGAUAAUUUUCUUAGGAUUCACAGUGUCUGACACAAGGCCUCCACAAUGUUGGCUAGUAUUACUGUCAUUAGAAAUGGCUAGCAAGGCCUCGUGCAGACCGGCCUCCAUCAGGGAGGGGAACCGCAGUGGCUCCACUUCCCAGUCCUGAAUUCAGAUUCAUGCCUGACAUGGUUAUGGGGACAGUGGCCCAGAAUACUUGAACCUGGCACUCUCCCCCAAUGCAGGACCCGUGGGUACCACAGAGGCGCAUAUAAGGUGCUGUGGGAGCAUAAGGAAGGGAGGAAAGGGAGAGGUUAAUCGGCUUGCUAUGGAGGGUGGGCUUCAGGCCUCCCAGGGGAGGUGGUGCCCAAGCUGGGCCUUGAAGGGUACAUAGGAGUCCCCUGACAGAGAAGUGAAUGAAGGGAACAGCAAGGGGAAUAGCACCCACAAAGGCAUGGAGGCACACAAGAGCAUGGCACUUCUGGAAGCCUUCAGGCAGCUGGAGUGGGGGUGGGGUGGGGGCAGGCAGAGAGAGGACACCUCAUCUCUCCUCCCUUCUGGGGUGCCCACAUUUUGACUGUGCAGCCAGGACCACAGCCUCUUGCAAGGGCAACACUUUACAGCUCACGUAGACUUUUUCUGUUGUUUCACAGAUGAGAGGCCUGCAGAGGGGGGUGGCCCCCCAGAGACCCACAGCUGGGCGGGUAAAACCUGAUGGGGACCCAGAUCUGCCGAUUCUCAGGCCAGGGACUGACUUUCAGACGUGGAUGGUGGGCACUGGGAGGAUUUCCUUGGAGAAAUGGGAUGCACAAGGCGAUGGUCGGGGGCCUCAGGAAGGGCUGGGGUGGGCCUGUGAGAGUGAUGGGCAGGGAUGACAGCCCAGGGGGCGGCUAAUGUGUGUUAUUUAUGGCUGUUUCUCUUCAGGGCCGCGAAGGUAAUUGAAUAAGUGAGCGUGAGCAGACACAGGCGCUCAUUUAAUUGUGGCAGAAAAUGAAGGUGCUUAUAGCUGGGGGCUGCCAGCCCAUUACCGCUGGCCCUGGUUUCUGCUGAGUCUGGCAAGCGGGGCCAGAGUGGCUAUCCAUCCUUGGCCUGCCCCUACCCUGUCCCCUGGCAGCCGUCCCCACCACCUCCAGGGCCUGGCAGGCUGGUGGUCAGGGAGUUCUCUGGGCAGCCUACGCCCCACGCCCCAUGCCCACAGGCUGCCACGGACCGUGAGGGGACUGGGAGGACCGGGAGGGCAGGGGGAUGCUGAGACCUGGCAGCAAGAGCAGGGGGUCAGAUCAUGACGUGUGGAGCAGCACCAUCAGCAGACACGUAUGAAGCCUUGUAUGUGCCAGGCCCUCUUCUAGCCACUGAUUGUCUGAACUUGGUUAAUCGCUCUGCGAGGGAAGUGCAAUUAUUAGCCCACAUUUCACAGAUGAGGAAACUGAGGCCCUGACUGCUGACUCCUUGCAUGGGAUCGAGAAGCCCCUGGGAGGCGCUGAGAUUCUGGGGGGCCCUAUCGGGGGGCAGCAGUGAUCCCCGUGAGGUGCUGAGAGGACCUGGCCCUGCGGGUCCCACAGGGCCCUGCGAGAUUUCUCUCUCACCUCUUGUCCUAUUUUAGCCUGCUGGCCACCACUGCCCUUCAGGAAGACCAGGGUAGACGCCUGGCCCCCAAGUUCCAAGGCAGGAGGAGCCCCCGCAGGCAAGGGCCGGCUCCGUUUCCAAAGCUCUUCCCUCUGGCUGUCGCCCCUCUGGCGCCCUUUCCCGCGCUGAGGGAGCAGAUACAGUCAGGCCUGGAACGUGAGAAGCCAGUCACCUGCCCAGGCCGGGGCAGCCAUAGUGGCCCCGGGACAGUGCCGGGACGGGCGGGGAGCAGGGGCGGGGCUGGUCGAGCCCAAAGGGCAGUGACCUCAGGCAAGUCCCUGGGCUUCCUGCAUUUCAUCUGACAAGCCUGGCUCCCUGCAGCUGUGCCUUCCGGUUUCUCACCAGUCCUGCAGGACGUCCGUGCUCCCUGCCAUGCUCACUGGGUGCCCCCACUGUGAGGAGCUGGAGAGACCUCAAGGGGGCCCCUCUUUCAUUCAUUCCUUCAUUUAUGUGGCACCUGCUGUGUACCAGCCAUGAAAUACUAUUUGAUUGUAAAAAUUACGUCCACGUGUUACUUGUAUAAAAAUGAAACUUACUGAAAAAGAAGGGAAGGGUAUUUUACCACAAUUGAAACAGAAAGAAGGAAAGGAAUUGAAGAGGCCCCAAGUAUAUUGGCCCCAUGCCCCGAUGUGGACCCCCCUUGCCCUGCUGAAGCCGCAGAGAAAUAGCUGCGGUGCAGGCGGAUCCUGCAGGCGGGGUGGACUGAGGACGCGGAGGGCCAAGGCUGCGGAAGGUCCAGGCAGAUGUUAACCUGAGAACUAAUCCUGCUAAUGGGUUCAUGGCUCCGCCUCUCAGAUGUCACAAGGUGCUUCAGCAGCUUCCCACAGACUCUCCGUAAAGAUUCACUGGCUGCAAGCUUCCACCCUGUGUCGGGAAGCACCCCCCCGGGGGACAGUGGAGACCGUUCCCCGCUGUCUUCCCCUAGGGGUCAGCUGGGCCCAGAAUCUUCUGUUUCCCGGAUUCCAUGUCACGCCCAGCUGUGACACAUCCUCGGCUCAUACCUGGACCCGGCUCCCCCGCCUCAGUCUGAGGCUGCAGCUGCUAUCUCUGAUGGAGGCCUCUGCUGGGCCAAAGAAGGAAGGAACGCCUCAUGCACCCUCUGCCCUAGGUGAGUGCCCCGACAGCCAACCAGAGGGCUGCACCAGGGCAGGCUGCAGGGGAGGUAUGAGGCUCUCCCCUCCCCACCCCGCUCCCCGCCCCAGUGCCCCCUUCUCUCCCAGAGCAGCUGUAUUGCACGCCCCUCCCUCUUCAGUCCUGGAGGAUGCAGAGAGAGAAGCACCAGCUUUGGGGUUCUCUGUUUGGCUGUGCCGGCUGGGACAAGGGUCUGGGGACAUGGCUGAGUCCCUGGGGCUCCCUGGACCCAGUCUCCUCAUCCUCAGUCUCCUGGCCUCAAGAGGCACCCUGUGGAGCUGAGGGAGAGCUGGGUCCUGGAGGUGGGGUGCAACAGACCCUGCCGGCCCCCACUGUGGGGAUCAGAAGGGGAAGAAGGCCUCACUCCUCAGACAGAGAGCUGGGGAGGCUCAGCACAGAUGGCUGGGUCAGCAGGCCCUAUCACUGGCCACCCGAGCGACUCUUCCGGGGGCUUGUACCGAGAACUUCGUCUCCUGGGGUGCCAGCACCCCUGUGCUGGCCUCCCCAGUCUGCCCAGAGCCCCCCUCAGGUCCACCAUGUGUUCACCCUCGGGGCUGCUCAUUGGAAGCCUCACAGCCCUCCUUUGCCCAUCACCCGCACCCAGCCAGCUGACCCUGCAGGACGUGCCUCUGCCCAGGCCAGAGCAAGGCAGCCUGCCCAAGCCUGACCUCGCCACUGUCCCCACAGCUGCUGGGAGGUGCGCGGGCCACCUCCCUUCCCUCCCGCUGUGCUGCUGACCCCUGCUGGCCAUCCUCACACACCCUCGGAGGCCUCCCCUCUGCACAGGCAUUCCUCCACAGGGCCCCGGUGCUUGAAUGCUUCUGGGGACAGGGGGCUCACCACUUCAUGCAGCAGCCUGCUCCAGGCAGAGAUGUGUCUGCUUCUUAGACAAGUUCUUUGUAAUCAGCUGAAGUCUGAAUACUGGUUACUUCCAUCUGUUUAUUUGUAGUCACACCCUCUGGAGUCACACAUUUUCAUCAUCAUCAUCAUCAGUACUGUGCAUGUACCAGGCACAGUGCAUUAUGUCAUUUAGUCCUUUCAACACCUGUGAGGUGGGUACCUGUAUCAUCCCCAUUAUAUAGAUGGGAAACCUGAGGUCCAGAGGAAGUGUGUCAUCUAAGUGUGUCACACAGCCAGGAAGUCGAAGAACCCGGGAAUCAAAUCCAGGCCCAUGCCCUUGCCAGCUAGGGAUGUGCCCACCCACCCCCACCGCCCUCUUGGCUCCCUCUCCAGCUCAUUCUUAUUUCCCCACCAGCCCCUGUUGCCCCACGUAAACUCCUACAUUCUCCCCCAGACCUUGCAGCUGGAUUAACUCCUCCUCCAGGAAGCCCUCCUGGGAAGCCAUAGGGUAGGGAGAGAGCCUUCCUCCCCAGGACAGGCUUUGGUCAAGGACCUGAUGCCCCCACUUGGUGCCUGGCAGGGCCCCAGGAGUCAGCAUUUGGAAAGCUGGCCUGGGCCUGGUCUCAUAAUGAUGCUUGGCAGGAUGGUGGGGCAUGUGGCGAUGGGGGCGACAUCUUCCUGCAGGCCUGUGGCCCAGCCCCGUGUACACCAGACUCCACUGGGUUCUCAGCAGUGCUGAGAGGGCAGGGCUGGGGAUGCAGACUUCACUGCCCCUCAGAGGACAAGGAGCAGGGCAGGGGCGUGGAGAGACUUCCUGGAUUCCGGCCACCUCCUGGAGCACCAGGCCCCCUGCAGGCUGAGAAGCUGAGUGGGUAUGCGAGGGGUGGGACGCAGGACAGUUCUGGUGACCAGGGGUCUGGAGUCUCCCCUGUUCUCUGGUGACCCCUGGCCACACGCCACAGCCACAAUGCCCUUGGCGAUGCUCAGGGACCCUCACCCCUGGCUGCCACCUCAAGCUCCUUUUAUGUCUCAAUCUAUUAGACCUCAGGGAGAGGUGCCACGUUCAGGAAGAUUCCCAGGGGUGAAAAACUCUGUCAAGCUUUAACCAAAAGCUUGCCUAGUGUUGCACCAUCUCAGUGUAGGGCAAGACUUUCAAACUCAUGUAGUUCCCUCCAUCUAUUCCAUGCCAGCAUCUCUGCUGAGUGCCCAUGCAGCCUCUCCUGACAUACCUCCAGUGACGGGAGGCUCGUUACCUCUCAAGGCAGCCCAAGGCUCAAAAUAGUGAAGGUCUUCCUUCUGCUGCAGAGCUGAGGUUUGUCUGUCUGAGGCUUCCGCUCACAAGGCCCAGCCCCACUCCCUCGGGAGUCCUCAGAACCAACCUAACUCUUCUCCUUAUGAUGUUUGGAACAAGUGGCCAUCUUCCUGUUGAAUCUUCUCCCCAGCCAAAGUGGUAAAAGACCCCUUGAAGAAACUGGGAGGUGCCCACCAGAGAGGAGAGAGGCAUUUUCAGCUGAGCUGGUGAAAUUCUGAGCCCAGCCCUGUCAGCUCUGAGUAGAGAGUGGAGAGUUCUUGGCAGAAUCCACCUGUGUUAGGCCCAAGCCUGACUCUUGCUGGGACGUGUGUAAAGGGAAAGGCUGCCUGGGGGCACCCUAGCCAUAGGAAAGGAGAGAGAGGCAUGGGGCCUGCUUCCCAGGGGGACGGCAUGCAGGACGGCCAGGCUUGAGCUGCCCAGAGGUCCUUGCCCAACAGGACAGGCUGACCGUAUGGGGCUCUGUGCACUCAGGUCUGGGGUGUGGGUGUUUCACUUCCUUCCUCCUGGGAGCUGCUGUUCCUCCAUUCCUCCUAGGUGGAGGCAGGGCACAAAUAAACAAACAAGAUGAAAUAAACACGUUUGUCCCUGUUAAGUUUCAUCUCGUUAGAUCAACCCCAUCGCUCCAGCCUGUCAGCUUCUCUUUAGAUCCCAGCUCUGUCAUCUGGCGGAUUUGCCAUCGUUCCCCCAGCUGUGUGGCAUUUGCAAAUUUGAUAAAGUACGUGGAGCGUGUUUGUCAGAGGAAGCUGCCAC
Long non-coding RNA from Diceros bicornis minor, 9926 nucleotides. RefSeq lists it as uncharacterized. The transcript has 7 exons. Lineage: Eukaryota; Metazoa; Chordata; Mammalia; Perissodactyla; Rhinocerotidae. The record is from RefSeq and is a predicted model, not a curated record.